ACAUGCAAGUCGAACGAAGUAGCAAUACUUAGUGGCAAACGGGUGAGUAAUAUGUGGGAAUCUACCCUUCGGUCUGGAAUAACAUGAGGAAACUUGUGCUAAUACCGGAUAAGCCUUUACAGGGAAAGCUUUAUGCUCCGAUUGAUGAGUCCACACUUGAUUAGUUAGUUGGUGAGGUAAUAGCUCACCAAGACAAUGAUCAAUAGCUGAUUUGAGAGGAUGAUCAGCCACAUUGGGACUGAGACACGGCCCAAACUCCUACGGGAGGCAGCAGUGGGGAAUAUUGCACAAUGGGGGAAACCCUGAUGCAGCGAUGCCGCGUGAGUGAAGAAGGCCCUUGGGUUGUAAAGCUCUUUCGUCGAGGAAGAAAAUGACUGUACUCGAAUAAGAAGGUCCGGCUAACUUCGUGCCAGCAGCCGCGGUAAUACGAAGGGACCUAGCGUAGUUCGGAAUUACUGGGCUUAAAGAGCACGUAGGUGGUUAAAAAAGUUGGUGGUGAAAUCCCAGAGCUUAACUCUGGAACUGCCAUUAAAACUUUUUAGCUAGAGUGUGAUAGAGGAAAGUAGAAUUUCUAGUGUAGAGGUGAAAUUCGUAGAUAUUAGAAAGAAUACCAAUUGCGAAGGCAACUUUCUGGAUCAUUACUGACACUGAGGUGCGAAAGCAUGGGUAGCGAAGAGGAUUAGAUACCCUCGUAGUCCAUGCCGUAAACGAUGUGUGCUAGACGUUGGAAAUUUAUUUUCAGUGUCGCAGCAAAAGCGUUAAGCACACCGCCUGGGGAGUACGAC
This 785-nucleotide ribosomal RNA is filed under the name uncultured Pelagibacteraceae bacterium. RNAcentral describes it as "bacterial SSU rRNA". It matches the Rfam family "Bacterial small subunit ribosomal RNA", at positions 53 to 886 of the family's 1533-position model. Lineage: Bacteria; Pseudomonadati; Pseudomonadota; Alphaproteobacteria; Candidatus Pelagibacterales; Candidatus Pelagibacteraceae. The record is from RNAcentral.